ACACUAACAGGAACACGCAAGCGAUACGUUUUCCACGCGUAUGGUAAAGUUUUCAUUCAACCCUCGAAGCUCUGCUGUCUUUACGAGAAAAGCACUCCCAUCCUCGCGAAUAUUCUCCAUUGCCACCCACCACUAACAAAACAGCAACUUGCUCUUUCAUUAAAUACAAUUACUCCCUCUCUUCCAUCCUUGUUCUCUCUUCAUUCUUUCUAUGCAUAUACUUUGUUGUCAUUUCGAUCUCAGCCAUCGAUAAUUUCCAUCCAUCAGAGCCAAAACCAUCGUCAUGCACGAUCAUCAGGGUGAUCAUGAUAUGAAGAACAAAGUAAAGGGCGGUAAUAAUAUUCACCGUCAGCAAAAGAAGAGGAGAAGUUAUGGCAAACCUAAAUGCAUGGCAUCUCGUUGUUGCCCUUGUUUUGCAGUGUCAUCAAUAGCUAGAAGGAUUGGGAGAUGCCUGUUUGUAAGCUGUUACCCUAUCAUGCAGUGCUUUCGCUUGGAUGACCACAGACAUCAGCAUGACCAUCACAAGCAUUUUCAUUCCUUCUGAAUUUUGUAUCAUUUUCUUUUUUUUUAAGGUUUGGUCCAAUCACGAGUUUUUGAGUUUGUACCAUAUUAAUGAAGAAAAGAAGUUGUUAUAUGAUUCUUUGGUUA
Populus nigra (black poplar) is the source of this 648-nucleotide long non-coding RNA. RefSeq lists it as uncharacterized. The record is from RefSeq and is a predicted model, not a curated record. Lineage: Eukaryota; Viridiplantae; Streptophyta; Magnoliopsida; Malpighiales; Salicaceae. The transcript has 2 exons.